Molecule: ribosomal RNA, 439 nt
Filed under: uncultured bacterium
Lineage: Bacteria
Description: partial 16S ribosomal RNA
Rfam family: Bacterial small subunit ribosomal RNA
Source: RNAcentral
CUACGGGUUGCAGCAGUGGGGAAUAUUGCACAAUGGAGGAAACUCUGAUGCAGCAACGCCGCGUGGAGGAUGACACUUUUCGGAGCGUAAACUCCUUUUAUAUAGGAAGAAGAUGACGGUACUAUAUGAAUAAGCGCCGGCUAACUCCGUGCCAGCAGCCGCGGUAAUACGGAGGGCGCAAGCGUUACUCGGAAUCACUGGGCGUAAAGAGCGUGUAGGCGGAUUAAAAAGUCAGAAGUGAAAUCCUAUAGCUUAACUAUAGAACUGCUUCUGAAACUCUUAAUCUAGAAUAUGGGAGAGGUAGAUGGAAUUUCUGGUGUAGGGGUAAUAUCCGUAGAGAUCAGAAGGAAUACCGAUUGCGAAGGCGAUCUGCUAGAACAUUAUUGACGCUGAGACGCGAAAGCGUGGGGAGCAAACAGGAUUAGAUACCCCUGUAGUC